This 119-nucleotide ribosomal RNA is filed under the name Pteropus alecto (black flying fox). Lineage: Eukaryota; Metazoa; Chordata; Mammalia; Chiroptera; Pteropodidae. The record is from RNAcentral.
GUCCAUAGCCAUGCCACCCUGAAUGUGCUCGAUCUCGUCUGAUCUUGGAAGCUAAGCAGGGUCGUGCCUCAUUAGUACUUGGAUGGGAGACCACCUAGGAAGACCAAAUGCUGAAGGUU